AUCAGCCGCGGUAAUCCCAGCUCCAAUAGCGUAUAUUAAAGUUGCUGCAGUUAAAAAGCUCGUAGUUGAAUUUCGGGACCAAUAUGUCGGUCGUGCCUCGGUACGUACUGGCAUCGUUGGUUUCUCCCUUCUGACGAACCAUGAUGUCAUUUAUUUGGUGUCAUGGGGAAUCAGGACUGUUACUUUGAAAAAAUUAGAGUGUUUAAAGCAGGCUCACGCUUGAAUACAUUAGCAUGGAAUAAUGAAAUAGGACGUUUGAUUCUAUUUUGUUGGUUUCUAGGAUCAACGUAAUGAUUAAUAGGGAUAGUUGGGGGCAUUAGUAUUCAAUUGUCAGAGGUGAAAUUCUUGGAUUUAUUGAAGACUAACUACUGCGAAAGCAUUUGCCAAGGAUGUUUUCAUUAAUCAAGAACGAAAGUUAGGGGAUCGAAGACGAUCAGAUACCGUCGUAGUCUUAACCAUAAACUAUGCCGACUAGGGAUCGGAUGAUGUUAAUUUUUUAAUGACUCA
This 507-nucleotide ribosomal RNA is filed under the name Glomus sp. Glo18. RNAcentral describes it as "SSU rRNA". It matches the Rfam family "Eukaryotic small subunit ribosomal RNA", at positions 569 to 1078 of the family's 1831-position model. The record is from RNAcentral. Lineage: Eukaryota; Fungi; Glomeromycota; Glomeromycetes; Glomerales; Glomeraceae.